AUUGAACGCUGGCGGCAGGCCUAACACAUGCAAGUCGAGCGGAUGAAGGGAGCUUGCUCCUGGAUUCAGCGGCGGACGGGUGAGUAAUGCCUAGGAAUCUGCCUGGUAGUGGGGGAUAACGUCCGGAAACGGGCGCUAAUACCGCAUCCGUCCUGAGGGAGAAAGUGGGGGAUCUUCGGACCUCACGCUAUCAGAUGAGCCUAGGUCGGAUUAGCUAGUUGGUGGGGUAAAGGCCUACCAAGGCGACGAUCCGUAACUGGUCUGAGAGGAUGAUCAGUCACACUGGAACUGAGACACGGUCCAGACUCCUACGGGAGGCAGCAGUGGGGAAUAUUGGACAAUGGGCGAAAGCCUGAUCCAGCCAUGCCGCGUGUGUGAAGAAGGUCUUCGGAUUGUAAAGCACUGUUAGUUGGGAGGAAGGGAAGUAAGUGAAUACCUGGCUGUUUUGACGGUACCAAAAGAAUAAGCACCGGCUAACUUCGUG
RNAcentral lists this ribosomal RNA (484 nucleotides) under uncultured bacterium. RNAcentral's name for it is "partial 16S ribosomal RNA". It matches the Rfam family "Bacterial small subunit ribosomal RNA", at positions 30 to 507 of the family's 1533-position model. The record is from RNAcentral.